GAUGAACGCUGGCGGCGUGCCUAAUACAUGCAAGUCGAGCGAACAGACGAGGAGCUUGCUCCUCUGACGUUAGCGGCGGACGGGUGAGUAACACGUGGAUAACCUACCUAUAAGACUGGGAUAACUUCGGGAAACCGGAGCUAAUACCGGAUAAUAUAUUGAACCGCAUGGUUCAAUAGUGAAAGACGGUUUUGCUGUCACUUAUAGAUGGAUCCGCGCCGCAUUAGCUAGUUGGUAAGGUAACGGCUUACCAAGGCAACGAUGCGUAGCCGACCUGAGAGGGUGAUCGGCCACACUGGAACUGAGACACGGUCCAGACUCCUACGGGAGGAAGCAGUAGGGAAUCUUCCGCAAUGGGCGAAAGCUUGACGGAGCAACGCCGCGUGAGUGAUGAAGGUCUUCGGAUCGUAAAACUAUGUUAUUAGGGAAGAACAAAUGUGUAAGUAACUAUGCACGUCUUGACGGUACCUAAUCAGAAAGCCACGGCUAACUACGUG
RNAcentral lists this ribosomal RNA (497 nucleotides) under uncultured bacterium. Its description in RNAcentral is "partial 16S ribosomal RNA". It matches the Rfam family "Bacterial small subunit ribosomal RNA", at positions 28 to 507 of the family's 1533-position model. The record is from RNAcentral.